AUAUUUGCAACAGUAUGAUUGUUUAUUUUGUGAUGAACAAGUUGGUCCUAAAAAAUUAUUUUCUUUUCCCUUUAAAAAUUUCAGAACGCAAGCUGUUGCCUUGGAAUAUAAUGAAAAGAAUGAAGCUGUGAAUCAGGAAAGAAAAUAUCAUCAGCAAAUCACAGCUGUGGAACUUGAUGCUUUGAACACGCAAUGGAGAGAGCUAUGUCAGAAAAAUAUAGACAUCCAGGCAGCAUGUGCUAACAUCCAAAAUCAUAUAGACGAGCUAAAAAGAGAAUCUGUUGAUCUUGGACUGAACUUGGACGCGCAGAUGGAGCUUGCUUAGCAGCUCCCGCUAGGUGAUGGGGUGAGUUUCUACUCUACAGAAGAUAUUGGAUGUCUUGUCUUGAAGAUUUACGGUAAUUAGCCAGUUUUUAUGGAGAUAUUUACAUA
This is a long non-coding RNA of Dendrobium catenatum, 432 nucleotides long. RefSeq lists it as uncharacterized. The transcript is spliced from 4 exons. Lineage: Eukaryota; Viridiplantae; Streptophyta; Magnoliopsida; Asparagales; Orchidaceae. The record is from RefSeq and is a predicted model, not a curated record.